Molecule: small nuclear RNA, 184 nt
Organism: Dermacentor andersoni
Lineage: Eukaryota; Metazoa; Arthropoda; Arachnida; Ixodida; Ixodidae
Product: U2 spliceosomal RNA
Source: RefSeq, a predicted model, not a curated record
AUAACUCCGACGCGGGUCAAAGUGUAGUACCUGUUUUUAUGAUAUAAAUAUCUAAUACGGGUUCUAUUUGGAUCCAAGAUACAUCCAACUUAUUUUUGCAAGUUGGCGGAGUGCUUGAAGCCUGCUUCACCUCCGCCGCGGGUUGGCCCGGUAUUGCACCGACUCCGGGAUCGGCCCACGGUUU